UGAACGCUGGCGGCGUGCCUAACACAUGCAAGUCGAGCGUGAAAUUUAUGAAUGAUCCUUCGGGUGAAUGAUUAAAUGGAAAGCGGCGGACGGGUGAGUAACGCGUAGGUAACCUGCCUUAUGCUGGGGGAUAGCCAUUGGAAACGAUGAUUAAUACCCCAUAAGACUACAGUAUCGCAUGAUACAGUGGUAAAAGAUUUAUCGGCAUAAGAUGGACCUGCGUCUGAUUAGCUAGUUGGUAAGGUAAUGGCUUACCAAGGCGACGAUCAGUAGCCGACCUGAGAGGGUGAUCGGCCACACUGGAACUGAGACACGGUCCAGACUCCUACGGGAGGCAGCAGUGGGGAAUAUUGCACAAUGGGCGAAAGCCUGAUGCAGCAACGCCGCGUGAGUGAUGAAGGUUUUCGGAUCGUAAAACUCUUUUCUUAGGGAAGAAGAAGUGACGGUACCUAAGGAAUAAGCACCGGCUAACUAC
Molecule: ribosomal RNA, 475 nt
Filed under: uncultured bacterium
Lineage: Bacteria
Description: bacterial SSU rRNA
Rfam family: Bacterial small subunit ribosomal RNA
Source: RNAcentral